RNAcentral lists this transfer RNA (111 nucleotides) under Lewinella sp. W8. RNAcentral's name for it is "tRNA-Tyr". It matches the Rfam family "tRNA". From Rfam's summary of the family: Transfer RNA (tRNA) molecules are approximately 80 nucleotides in length. Their secondary structure includes four short double-helical elements and three loops (D, anti-codon, and T loops). The record is from RNAcentral. Lineage: Bacteria; Pseudomonadati; Bacteroidota; Saprospiria; Saprospirales; Lewinellaceae.
UGAUCGGUAGACCGUAACGGGUAGCGGGCCUGACUGUAGAUCAGGUGCUUCGGCCUUGGGCCCGCCAGGCCUGACAACCGUCGGACAGGGGUUCGAGUCCCUCCCGAUCAA